This 468-nucleotide ribosomal RNA is filed under the name uncultured bacterium. Its description in RNAcentral is "partial 16S ribosomal RNA". It matches the Rfam family "Bacterial small subunit ribosomal RNA", at positions 28 to 507 of the family's 1533-position model. The record is from RNAcentral.
GACGAACGCUGGCGGCGUGCUUAACACAUGCAAGUCGAACGGAAAGGCCCUGCUUUUGUGGGGUGCUCGAGUGGCGAACGGGUGAGUAACACGUGAGUAACCUGCCCUUGACUUUGGGAUAACUUCAGGAAACUGGGGCUAAUACCGGAUAGGAGCUCCUGCUGCAUGGUGGGGGUUGGAAAGUUUCGGCGGUUGGGGAUGGACUCGCGGCUUAUCAGCUUGUUGGUGGGGUAGUGGCUUACCAAGGCUUUGACGGGUAGCCGGCCUGAGAGGGUGACCGGCCACAUUGGGACUGCGAUACGGCCCAGACGCGUACGGGAGGCAGCAGUGGGGAAUAUUGCACAAUGGGCGGGAGCCUGAUGCAGCAACGCCGCGUGCGGGAUGACCGCCUUCGGGUUGUAAACCGCUUUCGCCUGUGACGAAGCGUGAGUGACGGUACUGGGUAAAGAAGCACCGGCUAACUACGUG